GGCUCAGGAUGAACGCUAGCGGCAGGCUUAAUACAUGCAAGUCGUGGGGCAGCAUGAGUAGCAAUACUUGAUGGCGACCGGCAAACGGGUGAGGAACACGUACACAACCUUCCUUCAAGCGGGGAAUAGCCCAGAGAAAUUUGGAUUAAUACCCCAUAACAUAUUUGAUAAGGCAUCUUAUUAAUAUUAAAGCUUCGGCACUUGAUGAUGGGUGUGCGGCUGAUUAGAUAGUUGGCGGGGUAACGGCCCACCAAGUCUACGAUCAGUAGCUGAUGUGAGAGCAUGAUCAGCCACACGGGCACUGAGACACGGGCCCGACUCCUACGGGAGGCAGCAGUAAGGAAUAUUGGACAAUGGACGAAAGUCUGAUCCAGCCAUGCCGCGUGAAGGAUUAAGGUCCUCUGGAUUGUAAACUUCUUUUAUAUGGGACGAAAAAAGGGCAUUCUUGUUCACUUGACGGUACCAUAUGAAUAAGCACCGGCUAACUCCGUG
RNAcentral lists this ribosomal RNA (492 nucleotides) under uncultured bacterium. RNAcentral describes it as "bacterial SSU rRNA". It matches the Rfam family "Bacterial small subunit ribosomal RNA", at positions 21 to 507 of the family's 1533-position model. The record is from RNAcentral.